GAUCAUGGCUCAGGAUGAACGCUAGCGACAGGCUUAACACAUGCAAGUCGAGGGGCAGCGGGGGUAGCAAUACCCGCCGGCGACCGGCGCACGGGUGAGUAACGCGUAUCCAACCUUCCGUACACUCAGGGAUAGCCUUUCGAAAGAAAGAUUAAUACCUGAUGGUAUGAUGAGAUUGCAUGAUAGCAUCAUUAAAGAUUUAUCGGUGUACGAUGGGGAUGCGUUCCAUUAGGUAG
Molecule: ribosomal RNA, 236 nt
Filed under: uncultured bacterium
Lineage: Bacteria
Description: partial 16S ribosomal RNA
Rfam family: Bacterial small subunit ribosomal RNA
Source: RNAcentral